UUGGCUAUUGUGAAUAAUGCUACCAUGGACAUGGUGGUACAUAUAUCUUUUUAAAUCCAUGCUUUCAGCUCUUUUGAAUUAAUGGAUCACUUGGUAAUUCUUUUUUAAAUAUUGUGAGGACCCUUUAUAUUGUUUUCCAUAGUGACUGCACCAUUUUACAUUUCUACCAGCAAUGCAUUAGAGUUCCAAUUUUUCCACAUUCUCAUCAACAUUUGCUGUUUUCUGCUUAUUGGUAGUGGCUGUUCUAAUGGGUAAGAGGUUAAGCCUAUAUUUUGAAAUAAACGUUAAUGUAUAAUAAUUGUAUUAUUAAUUGGUAUUCAUAUUUAGAUUAUUUUCCCUGGAUUCUUAGUAUUCAAAUACAAAGUAACUUGAGGAUCCAAUUUUGCUAAUACUUUUUUCCAAGACACUUUUUCUCUCUUUUUUCUUUCAGAGUUUGAAACAAUAUCAACAUGUCUAUAUUGGAGCUUUCUUUAUUUGAUACACUAUCCAGAAAUUCAAGCCAAAAUUCAAGAAGAAAUUGAUGGAAACAUUGGGAUGAAAUCAACCAGGUUUGAAGACAGGAAAAUUUUACCCUCCACAGAAACUUUCAUAAAUGAAAUAUUCAGACAUGCCUCCUUUCUUCCUUUUACUGUUCUUCAUUGCGAAGGAGGGGGAAUGUCUCUCACGCCAUGUGGUAAUCGGCAGAGCAGAAUGCAGUGCCUCAGCCCAGAUAAUAGGAAGGAUGAAAUCUUAAUACAGAUUCAUUCAGGGUAAAUCGAAUUUCAAAAGUGGGCUCACUGGGGGAGUUGUGAGCGAAGGACUUCGUGGGCUCACCCUCUGCAUGUGUAUGACCAGCUGAUAUUUGAAAAGCAGCCUGAAACCCCCCACUGGAGUAACUAUUUGGGAUAAUCCCAAUUUAUUUAGACCUGAGAGAUUUCUAUAUGAAAACAUGGAACUGAAUAGAACUUUGUUGAGAAGGUGUUGACUUUUGGAAUGGGAAUCCGGAAGUGUCUCAGAGAAGAUGCUGCACGAAAUGAGAUAUUCAUUUUCUUCACCACAGUUCUGCAGCAGCUCAAGCUGGAGAAGUGCCCAGAAGCCGAGCUUGACCUGACACCCAUGUAUGGCUUAGCCAUGAAGCCAACACCAUACCAACUUCAAGUAGAGACCCGCUGCACAGAAUUCUACUUUUCGCUGAAAGAGUCGGUACUGAAAAAACAGGAUGUUCUAUCAACUCACAUUCCUAGAAUUCCUUUUUGGUCAGAAGUGAGCUGCUAGAAGGAGAUACUCAAAAUGAAAAACAUCUUGUCAUGAGGAACCUGGGAAACAACUCAACAUGAAGGAAAAUAGAAUCUAGAGGUGGAGACAUAGCACAUUCUACAGGAUAAAACCUCAACAAACCCCUUACUGUAGAGAGAGACAGUAAUGGUCAAGGCCACCCACCUCGCACUGUGCUGGUAUUAGGAACAAGAAGAGUAGCUGGGAACUCUGGAUCACAUGCUUCCCCUGCACUUGGGCAUGGUUAGCAAGUCACUUUUCAGCCCAGUGAUAAUCAACACCAGCCUGGAGCUAAAAGUGCGCCACCUGAAAAAACAGCUUUUUGUUGAUGCCAAAUCUAUCCAUCCAGGGCACUCCCAGCUCUUCAACUUCAAAAGAGACAAGUAAACUCAGGUGAAAAAC
Aethalodelphis obliquidens (Pacific white-sided dolphin) is the source of this 1656-nucleotide long non-coding RNA. RefSeq lists it as uncharacterized. The record is from RefSeq and is a predicted model, not a curated record. Lineage: Eukaryota; Metazoa; Chordata; Mammalia; Artiodactyla; Delphinidae. The transcript is spliced from 9 exons.